AAUUGAUGGUGCGGGCAUUUUUGAAUUAACAUUUUGAAAUGUUCCCAUGGCUUAUAAAAAAAUUCUCCCUCCAUCUGCCUAAAGACAACAAUCUCUCGUCUAAGCU
Gossypium raimondii (Peruvian cotton) is the source of this 106-nucleotide non-coding RNA. Lineage: Eukaryota; Viridiplantae; Streptophyta; Magnoliopsida; Malvales; Malvaceae. The record is from Rfam.